ACUUUACCCCAGAGUUGAACGGGGGUUCUUUCAGAAUUGGAGUCCGUCCUCUCAAACCCUGCCUAGGCUUGGUCAGCUCAAUGUAGAUGAUAUUCUCAGUCCUUCCUGUCAUUUCAACAAUCUUCUCAGCAUCUUCACCAGGAGCAGAUUCUAGCUCAAGAAACACUUUCUUGGCUCAUCCACACGAAGCAACUCCUCGUCCGUUCAAGUCUGACCCUGAGAUGGUGGCAGUUCUGCCCCAUCGUCAGGCUGCACGUCCCCCGCUAGUUCUCUGGCUGUGUCCACACCAUCCGCCGUUACUUCCUCCGCUGAAGUCUUGAAUCCCUUGAAGUCAUCCAUGCGGGUUGAGACCAACUUCUCCCAAACUCCUGUUAAUGUUGCUGUUUCGACCUCUUCCCACAGAUCACAGUGUUCUCAAUGGCAUCUGGGAUGGCGAAUCCUUUCCGGAGGUUUUUCAGUUUACUUUGCCCAGAUCCAUCCUAUCUGUGGCAGCCACAGCCUUGUGCCAUGCCAUGCCAACUCUUCAUAAGAGUUGAAAGUCGAAAUGACUGCCUUAUCCGUGGGCUGCAGCCAGUGCUGUGCUGGCAGGCAUGAGAACGGCACUGACCUUGCUGUCUGUCUCCGUCAGAGCUCUUGGCUGACUGGUGCGUUGUCAAUGAGCACUAACGUUUUGAAAGGAAUUUUUUUUUUUUUCCCCUGAACAGUAGGUCUUAACAACGGGCUUAAAACAUCGGCAAACCGUGCUGUGAGCAGCUGUGUGGCCGUCCAGGCUCUGUUCCAUUCUGAGGGCACAGGUUGAGUAGAUCUGGCACAAUCCUUAAGGGCCCUACGAUUUGGGGACAGUAAGUGAACAUGGGCUUCCACCUCAAGUCACCAGCACUGUUAGCCCCUAAUAAGAGAGUCGGGGUGUCCUUCGAAGCCUUGAUUAUCGACUUCUGUCUGUGAAAGUCCUAAAUAGCAGCUUCCAAUAAAAGGCUGUUGCAUUCACACUGGAGGUGGGUCGUUUAGUGUGAUGACCUUCGGUACUUACCGCAGCUGCAUCACGGGAGGCCGAGCCGUGGUUCUGCGUCCCGGCUCGCUGCUUGCCCUGG
Lutra lutra (Eurasian river otter) is the source of this 1091-nucleotide long non-coding RNA. RefSeq lists it as uncharacterized. Lineage: Eukaryota; Metazoa; Chordata; Mammalia; Carnivora; Mustelidae. The record is from RefSeq and is a predicted model, not a curated record. The transcript has 3 exons.